GGGGAGCGCCCGCGUCACGUGAGGGGGGAAGUUCUGUCGGGGCAUGAAUGGAGCCGAGGGUUGGGAACGGCCGCCGCCAUAGCAACGGGAGCCGGUGGGAGGGGCCGGGGACGGCCACGUGAGGGCGCGGCGUCGCCAUGGGAACGGGACAUCGGACCACGCGCCCGGUCCUGGAGCGGUCGUGGUCUUGCGGUGGCUCGAGCCAUGCGGGCUGCCCGGCCUCGCGCUCUUGCUCGCUGCACGCGGCUCCUCACAGCUGCUCCGCCGCCUCUCUGAGCGGGGCGUAACACCGCCGGGAUGCGGAGUAGGGGUGGUGCCGCCCACCGCCGCGCUCGGAGGAGCGGAGCGGAGCAGCGCGGGGCUGCUGGGGCUGCUCGAGCUGAGCGCGUGCUUCCCGGGAGCCCGCCAAAAAUAACGGUCUGCGUCCCCUGUGGGACCCCUAAGGAGGGUCCUUCAGUCACGCCGCUCUGCGGUCACAAAAGACACCGCUGUGGCUCAAGAAGUCAGACACCUUGGACAAAACGCAUCCUGUGCGUGUACCCUGAGGUAUCUCUGGGCACAAAUAGCCUUUGUGUUACAGAAGAGAUGUUCUGGAGCAGAAACGACUUUUUUGGUAAGUGACUUUUGCUAAGUUCACUGCUAUGACACUGAGA
Molecule: long non-coding RNA, 653 nt
Filed under: Gallus gallus (chicken)
Lineage: Eukaryota; Metazoa; Chordata; Aves; Galliformes; Phasianidae
Description: long non-coding RNA NONGGAT009041
Source: RNAcentral